GCCCUCAUAGCUCAAUUUGGUAGAGCAUCUCCCUUUUAAGGAGUUGGUUGGAGGUUCAAAUCCUCCUGGGGGCA
This 74-nucleotide transfer RNA is filed under the name bacterium. Its description in RNAcentral is "tRNA-Lys". It matches the Rfam family "tRNA". From Rfam's summary of the family: Transfer RNA (tRNA) molecules are approximately 80 nucleotides in length. Their secondary structure includes four short double-helical elements and three loops (D, anti-codon, and T loops). Further hydrogen bonds mediate the characteristic L-shaped molecular structure. tRNAs have two regions of fundamental functional importance: the anti-codon, which is responsible for specific mRNA codon recognition, and the 3' end, to which the tRNAs corresponding amino acid is attached (by aminoacyl-tRNA synthetases). tRNAs cope with the degeneracy of the genetic code in two manners: having more than one tRNA (with a specific anti-codon) for a particular amino acid; and 'wobble' base-pairing, i.e. permitting non-standard base-pairing at the 3rd anti-codon position. The record is from RNAcentral.